This 157-nucleotide ribosomal RNA is filed under the name uncultured metazoan. RNAcentral describes it as "5.8S ribosomal RNA". It matches the Rfam family "5.8S ribosomal RNA". Rfam says of the family: 5.8S ribosomal RNA (5.8S rRNA) is a component of the large subunit of the eukaryotic ribosome. It is transcribed by RNA polymerase I as part of the 45S precursor that also contains 18S and 28S rRNA. Lineage: Eukaryota; Metazoa. The record is from RNAcentral.
AACUCUAGGCGGUGGAUCACUCGGCUCGCGCGUCGAUGAAGAGCGCAGCAAACUGCGUGAAGUAGUGUGAAUUGCAGGACACCUUGAUCAUCGACAUCUCGAACGCACCUUGCGGCCGAGGUUUCAAGCCUCGGCCACGUCUGUCUGAGGGUCGGCU